AACUUUCAACAACGGAUCUCUUGGUUCUGGCAUCGAUGAAGAACGCAGCGAAAUGCGAUAAGUAGUGUGAAUUGCAGAAUUCAGUGAAUCAUCGAAUCUUUGAACGCACAUUGCGCCCCUUGGUAUUCCAUGGGGCAUGCUUGUUCGAGCGUCA
RNAcentral lists this ribosomal RNA (154 nucleotides) under Muriphaeosphaeria viburni. RNAcentral describes it as "5.8S ribosomal RNA". It matches the Rfam family "5.8S ribosomal RNA". Rfam says of the family: 5.8S ribosomal RNA (5.8S rRNA) is a component of the large subunit of the eukaryotic ribosome. It is transcribed by RNA polymerase I as part of the 45S precursor that also contains 18S and 28S rRNA. Functionally, it is thought that 5.8S rRNA may be involved in ribosome translocation. RNAcentral also lists the same sequence under 2 other names. The record is from RNAcentral. Lineage: Eukaryota; Fungi; Ascomycota; Dothideomycetes; Pleosporales; Phaeosphaeriaceae.